GUUAAGUAGGGAAAAUGUAAGAAGAAUCAGCAGCGAUGACGGUGCCUUUGCUUUCGAAGAAGACAGUGAAGAAAAGGGUCAAGAAGUUCAAGCAACCCCAGACAGAGUGCAAAAUUGUAACCUUUGUCUAUACUGCUUACAGCAAAUGACAUUCUUAAACCUACUAAUGUCUCUGCCGGAUUCACCUUAUCUGACAGCAACUCAAACACUCAUGUCCAACUUGCUAAGAAAAGUGGAAAAGGGGAAUACAGGAAGUGUCAUGAGUCUUCCCAAGCAUAGUAGGAAGGUCACUCAUCAUGAAUAUGAAGUCGAAACAGCAAAUGGAAGAACAAUUACAAAAAAAGGAAAACCAAAAGUACUGUAAUGUUUGCGGACUCAAGCAGACAUAAAAAGCUAGAGACACCAAAAGCUGUUACACCUAGAGCUGUUACUAAGGGAACAAAGGGACAAGUUCAUACAAAUUCAUCUAAUAUAGGUGAUCUGUUUUCAGAAGGAUCUCUGAAUCCUUAUGCAGAUGAUCCCUAUGCAUUUGAUUAGAGUAUGAAGUGUUUGGGUCGACCGUGAAGAAGCCAGUGCAAAAAAAAAAAAGGAUUUGUCUACAAAAAAGGUGUCGAAGCUGAGAAGCUGAUUUGUGUUAGCGCGCUUGACAUGUUUGAGGCUGCUGAUGAUGAGGUUAUGUGUUGCUCUAUUCUCAUGCAUAGAUACCUGAACUUGGAGAUUGUUCAACUAUGUAGCCAGACCUUUAAGUUGUACCAUCGUGUGGCUUGUCGAAUUGAACUGACCAGGCUCCUAUGCUAUUUUAAGCGUUCAUCCGAUGUGAUCAACAAAGUGACGUGCACUAAAUACGCUGUUGUUGCUUGCUGCCCAGUUUAGAGAGGUUGUUUUUGGAUGCUUAUUUCUUGUGCUAUCUUGUCAGCUCGUGAACUUCUUUGAGCUUGUAGUGGCGUCGGUAUUAGUUUUGAGGCUUAUAUGCUAUUGAUACUAAUAGCAUUUAGUGGUUCUAUUCUUUUUAAAAAAUUUUCUUUGGGAUGCUCUGUUAUGCUGCCAGCUCAUAGCCUUUCUUCUUGGGCUGAGUUCUUAGGCAGCAGUAGUAUUUGGAAUAGUUAUAUGUAGACUAUAGACCACAUGUUUGUUA
Long non-coding RNA from Coffea eugenioides, 1135 nucleotides. RefSeq lists it as uncharacterized. The record is from RefSeq and is a predicted model, not a curated record. NCBI's taxonomy places the organism in Eukaryota, Viridiplantae, Streptophyta, Magnoliopsida, Gentianales, Rubiaceae. The transcript has 7 exons.